AGACGUAGGGGGCUAGCGUUGCCCGGAUUCACUGGGCGUAAAGCGCGCGUAGGCGGUUCGGCAAGUCGCCCGUGAAAGCCCCUGGCUCAACUGGGGGAGGUCGGGCGAUACUGCCGGGCUAGAGGGCGGCAGAGGGAGGUGGAACGGCCGGAGUAGCGGUGAAAUGCGUAGAUACCGGCCGGAAUCCCGAUGGCGAAGGCAACCUCCUGGGCCGUUCCUGACGCUGAGGCGCGAAAGCUGGGGGAGCGAACCGGAUUAGAUACCCUUGUAGUCC
RNAcentral lists this ribosomal RNA (274 nucleotides) under uncultured bacterium. Its description in RNAcentral is "partial 16S ribosomal RNA". It matches the Rfam family "Bacterial small subunit ribosomal RNA", at positions 523 to 796 of the family's 1533-position model. The record is from RNAcentral.